Phacochoerus africanus (Common warthog) is the source of this 1078-nucleotide long non-coding RNA. RefSeq lists it as uncharacterized. The transcript is spliced from 4 exons. The record is from RefSeq and is a predicted model, not a curated record. Lineage: Eukaryota; Metazoa; Chordata; Mammalia; Artiodactyla; Suidae.
CCCAGAGUUCCCUGAGGAAGGACAGAGAGAGACCAAGAAGUCAGGCCAGCACAUAACCCUGAACCUGGCCCAUGGAUAAACCUUUGCCAGCCUUCUGUGUGAGACACAUGUGCCCGAAUAUUGCAGUUGCCUCAGCUGACUUCAGGACAACUACCAGACAUAUUAAGUGAGGCCAUGGUAGGUUAUCCAGCCCCGGCUAAGUGGGUCCAGCCCAGAAGAAUCACCCAGUUUCCAUUGGAGAAACCAAGGCAGUCUUGCCCACUGCCUCCUGUCUUCCCAUCACAAAAGUUUUAGUCAUCGACAGUGCAGGUUUAUUAGCACAAAAAGAAAACCAAAUGAAGCAAGACCGAACAACCUAGUAAUUAUUCUUCAGGACACAUGCGAUUUGACAACACAUAGUCUACCUGAGCUGCAUAUAGGAUUGAAACAGAAAGCUGACAUAUGGAGCUUCCUGAAGGCUUCAGGCCCCAUUUCAGCAUCUAUGCAUUUAUGCAUAAAAUUCAAAGACGGUCAAGGAAAAGACUCUCUAUUCACUACGACAGGAAGAAGAAAAAGACAACACAGGCAUAAUCAUCAGUGGUCAAAUUGAAGAAGAGUUUAUUAACAGCUACAAAAGAAGGAGCAUCAUUUUCCUAGCAAAGAUUCUGGCCAAUGAUUAUUUCUUAUCUCUAGUCUCUGCUGGAAAAGACAUUCUAUGCUCAGGGGACAGAUUUUUCAGAGCCUCCCAGGCCAGCAUGUAAGGAUAUAAGUAAAUGUAAAAAAGAUGGCACCACACAGUGGAUGCAUUGUCGGGAAAGCAAAUGAUUUUACAUGACUCACAGCAAAGAAAGGAUGCAUAAGGCCACAAAUGACAGUUUGAUGGAUAGAGAUGGAUGGCCAAAGAGAAACCUCACUUAAAAUUCCUCCUUUGAACAUUCCUCCACUGAAGAAUUUCAUAGAACUACACUGUAUUUUUUCUCCCCUUUCAGUCUUUUAAUAAUUUAUUUGCCUGACUCUAAAAGCAAUGUAUGUUCUUUAGAACAAUGUUGAGAGUACGAAAAAGAAAAAAGAAUAAUAAAAGAUGACCUUUCUUCCUGAA